Molecule: ribosomal RNA, 552 nt
Filed under: uncultured Archaeospora
Lineage: Eukaryota; Fungi; Glomeromycota; Glomeromycetes; Archaeosporales; Archaeosporaceae
Description: SSU rRNA
Rfam family: Eukaryotic small subunit ribosomal RNA
Source: RNAcentral
UUGGAGGGCAAGUCUGGUGCCAGCAGCCGCGGUAAUUCCAGCUCCAAUAGCGUAUAUUAAAGUUGUUGCAGUUAAAAAGCUCGUAGUUGAAUUUUGGAUUCUACCAGUUGGUCCAUCUUUUGAUGAGUACUGAUUGUGUGGGGUCUAUCCGCCUGGUGAUACGUAAUGUACUUUAUUGUAUGUUGCGGGUAGUCAGGACCUUUACCUUGAAAAAAUUAGAGUGUUUAAAGCAGGCUUAUGCCGGAAUACAUUAGCAUGGAAUAAUAGAAUAGGACGAUGUUGUUUUAUUUUGUUGGUUUCUAGGACAACCGUAAUGAUUAAUAGGGAUAGUUGGGGGCAUUAGUAUUCAAUUGUCAGAGGUGAAAUUCUUGGAUUUAUUGAAGACUAACUACUGCGAAAGCAUUUGCCAAGGAUGUUUUCAUUAAUCAAGAACGAAAGUUAGGGGAUCGAAGACGAUCAGAUACCGUCGUAGUCUUAACCAUAAACUAUGCCGACUAGGGACCGGGCGAUGUUGUUUCAAUGACUCGCUCGGCACCUUACGGGAAACCAAAG